CCUACGGGAGGCAGCAGUAAGGAAUAUUGGUCAAUGGGCGCAAGCCUGAACCAGCCAUGCCGCGUGCAGGAAGACGGCCCUAUGGGUUGUAAACUGCUUUUGAACAAGAGAAAACCUCGGUACGUGUACCGAGCUGAUAGUAUUGUUAGAAUAAGCAUCGGCUAACUUCGUGCCAGCAGCCGCGGCAAGACGAAGGAUGCAAGCGUUAUCCGGAUUCAUUGGGUUUAAAGGGUGCGUAGGCGGCCUGAUAAGUCAGUGGUGAAAUCUCUCAGCUUAACUGAGAAACUGCCAUUGAUACUGUCGGGCUUGAGUACAGAUGAUGUGGGCGGAAUAUGACAUGUAGUGGUGAAAUACUUAGAUAUGUCAUAGAACACCGAUUGCGAAGGCAGCUCACAAAACUGUAAACUGACGCUGAGCGACGAAGUAGCGGGAGUACAACAGAGUAGAUACCUACGUAGUCGCACCGUAACGAUGUAUACUCGUUGUUGUCG
RNAcentral lists this ribosomal RNA (491 nucleotides) under uncultured bacterium. RNAcentral's name for it is "bacterial SSU rRNA". It matches the Rfam family "Bacterial small subunit ribosomal RNA", at positions 338 to 828 of the family's 1533-position model. The record is from RNAcentral.